RNAcentral lists this non-coding RNA (103 nucleotides) under Virgibacillus sp. RNAcentral's name for it is "SAM-I sequence". It matches the Rfam family "SAM riboswitch aptamer (S box leader)". From Rfam's summary of the family: The SAM riboswitch is found upstream of a number of genes which code for proteins involved in methionine or cysteine biosynthesis in Gram-positive bacteria. Lineage: Bacteria; Bacillati; Bacillota; Bacilli; Caryophanales; Bacillaceae. The record is from RNAcentral. RNAcentral also lists the same sequence under 1 other name.
UUCUUAUCCAGAGAGGUGGAGGGACUGGCCCUUUGAUACCUCGGCAGCAGACUAGUUUAAGUACUGUGCCAACUCCAGAAAGCGUUAUGCUUGAAGAUAAGAA